UUCUUGCCCUGAAUAUGAUGCAGUGUAAGGCAUAAGGCAUCUUUCUCAGCAUGAGGGUUUGGUUGCACCAGGGACUCUUAUUUAUUAAUUUAUUUUUAACCGUACACACUUCCAGUGAUGCCUGUGGCCAUACUUGUGCGUGGGGCUGGCUUGCUCCUUUGGGUGCUAUUUAAAGGGAGUGAGGUGAUGAAAGAUAGAGUGAAGGGUCAGGAGGUUAAAAAACAAAAUUAAGACUGUUCAUAAUAUAUGUUUAUUAUUUAAACUGCUAAGUAUCUGCUAACUAAAUUUUUAAAAUAAGGAAAAAGGUUUACACACACACACACACACACACACACACACACACAUUUUUCUAGUUCCCAUAGUUACCAUUUCCAAUAUUCAUUUCUUUGUGUAAAUCUGAGUUUUCAUUUUGGAAGCAUUGUUCUUUAGCAUGAAAAUUUUCCUUUAACAUUUUUUAGGGUGGUUUUGCUUGUAAUAAAUUCUCUCAGCUUUUGCUUGCUUAGAAAUUACCUUAUUUCACCUUCACUUUUGAAGGAUGUUUUCACUGGAGAUAGAGUUUUAGGUUGACACUUUUUUCUUUUAAGCACAUUAAAUAUGUCAUUUCACUAUGUUCUGUCUUGCAUCAUUUCUGAUUUGUGGUCAUUCUAAUCUCCUUUCACUGUUCAGAAUGUGGCUAUUCUUUUUCUGGCAGUAUUUAAGAUUUUCUCUUUAUCCCUGGUUUUCAGCAAUUCGAUUAUUGUGUGCCAUGGUGUGGUUUCCUUUUGUUUAUUCUGUUUGGGGUUUGUUGAGUUUCUCAAAUCUGUUGGUUUAUAGUUCUCAUUAAAUUUGGAAACUUUUAGCUGUGUUUUUCAUUUUUAUAAAUUAGAAUUUUUUUCUCAGAUUUGCCUUUUUAAAAAAUUUUCUUUCAACUUGAUUUAUUACCUGUUUACUUCUCCUGUUUAUUGUGCCUGAUGAAUCUCAUUAUGUUGCUGUUACUGUUGCAAUUUCUUCUCCCUCUUGUCCUCUUCCUAUUCUUCUUUUUGAGAGUUGUUUUCCAAGACAGUAUUUGAUGCUCUAUGCUAUUGAGGUAGCUCUAUUGGGCAACUUAAAAUGUACUUUUCCUAAGACCCUGUAGGCAUUACCAAUACUAGACCAGCUAUUAUAUUCAUUUUCUGCUUAUAAGUCCUUCCCUAGGAGUGGGGUAAAAAUGUAAACUCCAUAUCUCCCACUGCAUAGACUUGGGCUUCCAAUGUCUUAUAGAUGAAUCUUUUAUCAUAUAUUGCUCAGACUGGUUACUUGGAUUCGAAGCUGCAUCCUACCAGGCACAGAGUAUUAUUCAGGGGAUCAGUUUCAGUUCAUUGUGCUUAAGGGUGAGGAUCCUAAAACUCCUCUCCUAGGCAUUUAUGCUUAUAUCCACAUCUGAUUUCCCUGCAGGCCACUUGCCUUGUAUUUUUGGAUCCCACUGUGACUCUGGGUUUCCUUUUUAUUUUUGAAUGGUGCAGAUUUUCCUUUCUUACUUUGAAGCUCAAGUGUAUGUGUGUGUGUGUGUGUGUUUAAAUAUGUAAAAUAUUUGCCGUCAUAGGAGUUUACUUCAAAAACUAUACUAACUGAAAUUCUAAUAUGAAUUCUUCAUUCUUAAAUAUGAAUGGGAAAACCAAGAAUCACUAAAUAUUUGAAGGAUAAAAUAUGACAUGAGGUUAAUUCUAAGGCAAAAAAAAGAGAAAAAUAGUGAUGCCAAAGGAAAUAGAGAUAUUCAAGAAGAAUAGAGGGGCAACACCUUUAUUAAUAUCCUCUGAGACAUGUGGGCUAACAUUUCAUCCACAAAGUAAUAGGAUACAAUGAAAAGGGAAGAGUCAGAGAAUAAGAAUGAGAUCUUGAUGAGCAAAAUAUUAUGGACAAAAUGAAACAGUCUGUAGAAGAAUUAGAAGUAACACAUAAAGGAGACAAACAUGAAAAUAUGAGAGACAAGGUAAGUGACAGAAGACCAAUGCAGGAGCUCUAAUAGUCAAUUGAUAGAAGUUACACAAAGAAAAGAAAGAAAAUGAAUGAAAGAAAAUGUUCAAAUAAAUCAUGGGACACAGUUUUGAAGAGCUGAAGGCCAUCAAAUAUUCGACAUGAUAAAUAUAAAUAAAAGGAAAAAAUAAUUGUGAUUUUAGAACAUUAAGGUAAAUAACUGAAAGCUUUCUGAGAAUGAAAAACUGAUAAAUCAGAUAAAUAUAGUACCUCUGUAGGACUGACCUGUUAUUGUGAUGCCAGAUGAUGGUAUAGAAAUGCUUUCAAAGUUCUGAUGAAAAUGAUUUCAACUUGAAAUUCUAUACUUUGGCAAAAUAUGAAAUAAAUGUGAGACGAAAGUAAAUAUAUUUUCAGACAUGAAAGAGUUAGAAAUCUAUUCCCCAGAAUGAUCCAUCUUUUCUCAUGCUCAGCAAUAGAAAACAAUUUUUACUGAGACACAUCCCAGCUAGCUAAAUAUUAUAUUUUUCUGCCUCUCUUGCAGCUAUGAGUGGCUACAUAACCAUGUUCUUGCCAAUUAUUUGUAGUGGAUGUG
RNAcentral lists this long non-coding RNA (2524 nucleotides) under Homo sapiens (human). RNAcentral describes it as "non-protein coding lnc-LRMDA-6:1". The record is from RNAcentral. Lineage: Eukaryota; Metazoa; Chordata; Mammalia; Primates; Hominidae.